RNAcentral lists this long non-coding RNA (2498 nucleotides) under Homo sapiens (human). RNAcentral describes it as "HSALNT0088201". Lineage: Eukaryota; Metazoa; Chordata; Mammalia; Primates; Hominidae. The record is from RNAcentral.
GAGCGAAACAAUGUGACGAAGUGAAAAAAGGAAGGACAUUAAUGCUACUGUUAUGCCACUUUAAGAGAAUUAUUCCAGUCCGCUCGGAAUAAUUAAUCUGUUGUACAACAUUUGAUGAGGUGCUCACCAAAUUACUGCUACAUGCUGCAUUAAAAAUUUUGUCAGCUUUGUUCUGCUUUGGAAUCCUGUGCUUAUGAGAACUUUACCUUAGGCAGAGUUCAAUGGAUUGAAGAAAAUGUUCACGGAAGGAAGAUGAUUAAUUGAUCCAGAGGGCCUGUAGCAACUCUGUUUAACAUGCUAGAUGAGCCAGUCUUAUUCAGUGAUGACUAAGGAUCUAGAGAAAACUGGUGUCAGAAUACAAAAGAUUAAAUGGAAGGCUCUGGAGCCCUGAGGAAUAGCAGUUACUAGACUGAAGGAACCUGAGUUUCUAGAUUGCGAUGUUGAGCAGAGUCCCUGCUAACCCAGGAAAACUCUGAUGUGAGAAAGAAGAAAACCCGGAUUGCACUAACUCACCGAGAUUUCGAAGUUUAGUUGUUCGGCGAUGAACUUGUCCUGAACAACAUAGAGGAACAGUGGGAAAUACAUGGAGUGUGCUUAUAAGAAGCUAUGGUAGGCAGGAUUUCAAGAUGUCCUUGUGAUCUCUGCCUCCUUGUGUUUCUCCCAUGACUAUGUCAUGUUCCACAGCAAAAGGGAUUUUGCAAUGUAUUAAGGGUACUGAACGGUUGACCUUAAGAUCGUGGGAUUAUCUGGGUGGGCCUAAUUUCAUCACAUGAGUCCUGUAAAAGAAGUGAAUUUUCUCUAUUUGGUAGCAGAAGAGGCAGUCAGAGACAUCUGAAGUGUGAGAGGGAUUCAGUGCUGAAAUGGAGAAGGUCACAUGGUAAGAACCUGAGAGUGGCUUCUGGUAGCUGAGAGUGAUCCUUGGCAAGAUAAUGGAACCUUAGUCCUAGAGCCUCAAGGAAAUUAAUUCUGCUGACAAUCUGAGGGAACUUUGAAGCAGAUCUUUUCCUAGUUGAGCCUCCAAGUAAGGAUUUAGCUAGCUAGCUGGUACUUUAAUUUGAGCCUUAUGAGUCUCUGAGCAGAGGACCCAGGGAAAUAAAGUCAGGCUCCUAAUGCAUGGUGAUGAUGACGUGAUAAGUGUGUUUUGUUAAGCUACUAAGUUUGUGGUAAUUUUUAAUGUAGCAAUAAAAAACUAAUGCAGAGAGUGAAAAGUGCUGUGUCUAAGAUAUGUGGCAAAAUCAGGGUUAGUCCAUGCUGGUGUCACCAUCCAAGGAAUUGGAUCUGGUGAGCAGAAUGUGGCAGCAGGAGGCAGUGUGAUGGUGACAGUCACAAGGAGAUGGGUUCUGGGGCUGCAGUUUGAGGGUUGAAGCAGCUGCUGUGGAUUUAAGGAUCUGAGAACUCAGGCACAGAAGAGGAGGUCUGGCAAAAUCUGGGCAGAUUUUGCCCAAGAAAUGGCCUGGGGUCAGAGAUUGAGUCUAAAUCUCAGUGUCAAGAACUGAAGUUCACUUAAUUCUUUUUUUUAAAGAAACUUCUCGUUUAAUAAACUAGGCUGCUGAUUUUGAGAUAUUUACUUAUGAUUUUUUCAUGGUUCUUCAGAAUUAUCUCAGAGGGGUCUGAGAGGCUGAGCAGACAUAGCCUUAGUGACCCAUUUCUGUUUUAGCCAGGGCAGCCCUGCAUGUAGGUAUUUAUAUUUAGGGUUCCAUAUGACACUGCUCUUGGAAAAAGACCUUCAUUACUAAGACUGUUAGAAAAUGCCUAAUUUAGGGAAAAGCCAAGUAUCUUUGGGAAAAUGUGGGGGCUUCUCCUACAUAAGGAAGCAAGGCUAACUCUAGACCCCACAAGAGAGGGCUUGGUUCUCAUUGGUUCAGGUUCUGGCUGGAAUGAGACUGAAGGAUAAAAUACCCUAGGCAAGGCUGGGCAAUCAAGGACUGGACAAGAUCUUGCUUGGCUUUAAAGGAUCCCCUACACAAUCCUCAGAGAUGGAAGCACAAUAGAUAAGGAUAUGUAAAAAUAUUAUGUACAAUACACAUUAUACAUAUAUAUAUACACAUAUAUGUAUAUGUAUAAAACAUGGAUUUCCUGACCUGCUCAUCUAAUCUGGCUCAUUUUGUGUCAAUUCCAGUGUCUUCAUUUCUAAUAAAUAUUUAUUAAAUACCUGUGUGUGCCAGGCCUUGAACUUAGACCUGGGGAUCCAGAAGUAAGAACAAGAAGGGAGAGAGAGGGAAACAAGACAAUACAUGAUCACAUCAGGUUCAGACAAGAAAACAAGUUUGACUUUCUGAUUGUGGCAAUUCCAUGGGAAAGGAGCAAUGCGAUCUCCAGUUUGACACAGGGCUGCUAUGCAGGAACAGCACCCUGGAGUGACCAAAAAUAAAGGCAGCAAGCACCUGGAAGCCCAGGCCUCUGUCUUUUAACUCAGUUAAUGAGAUCUUUGGCAUAACCAUGUAUACACAUGAAAUUUUCUCCUCCUCAGUCUCUAAUUGUACCAAUUUAGUUGCCAU